UCUGAAUCUGCGUACGGCUCCGCAAACCAGUUGUAAACUAUAGCAAGCAAGCUCAGGGCUGGCCUUCACUGGCCGGCUCGGGGCGAUAUGGAUAACCCUGGUAAUUCUGAGGCUAAUACAUGAGUGUAAACCUUGGAGGACCGGCUUCGGCUGGGAAUCUGGGGGAUGUGCGAUUGCAGGCUUGGUAACACCGGGAAAGGGCGCACGUUCAGAUCACGCUAAAAAGGUCGGGCUCCUUCGGGGGCCUGCCCCAGUGACUCUUGCUGUGUGCUUCUGACCUAUCAACUAGACGGCAGCGUAAGGGACAUGCUAUGGU
This 316-nucleotide ribosomal RNA is filed under the name Lamproderma ovoideum. RNAcentral describes it as "bacterial SSU rRNA". It matches the Rfam family "Eukaryotic small subunit ribosomal RNA", at positions 80 to 350 of the family's 1831-position model. RNAcentral also lists the same sequence under 1 other name. The record is from RNAcentral. Lineage: Eukaryota; Evosea; Eumycetozoa; Stemonitida; Stemonitidae.